Molecule: non-coding RNA, 454 nt
Organism: Coturnix japonica (Japanese quail)
Lineage: Eukaryota; Metazoa; Chordata; Aves; Galliformes; Phasianidae
Source: RefSeq, a predicted model, not a curated record
UUUUUCUUGACUUUUUUUCAAGUUAUAGGUGGAAGCAAAGUGGGACAAAAUGUCAGCUAGUGCGGGAAAAAUAUGUAGAAGCAUGAUAUGGUGUUGCCUUCAUGUCCAUUAUUCCCUGGACCUGUCAAAUAUGAUGCAAAACAGAUGGCAGAGGCAACACAGUGCCAUGGGAGAGCUUUUGAUGUUUGGUGCCAAUUUUCAUGGCAAAACUGUCCAAUCACCUUGUGAGCAGGCACAAUGCUAUAGCAACAGAUGAGGAGGAGUAAGUUGGAAACCAGUGCUUAUUAUGAACUAUUCAUGGUCAGCAAAGCAAUAUACUCAGUGCCUGGUGUCCUGCUGCUGUAUGAAUGAUUUCUAGAAUCUGUGGCCAGGUUUCAUUCAGCUACUAAGAAGAAACUGGAACUGAAAAUGGAAAUGGAAAAGGGAAAAAUAAAUCAUUCAGUAACUAGCUGAA